Molecule: ribosomal RNA, 349 nt
Filed under: uncultured bacterium
Lineage: Bacteria
Description: bacterial SSU rRNA
Rfam family: Bacterial small subunit ribosomal RNA
Source: RNAcentral
UUACCAGGGCUUAAAUGCAAGUUGCAUGAUGUGGAAACAUGUCAGUCUUCGGACAAUUUGCAAGGUGCUGCAUGGCUGUCGUCAGCUCGUGCCGUGAGGUGUUGGGUUAAGUCCCGCAACGAGCGCAACCCCCAUCUUUAGUUGCCAGCGAGUAAUGUCGGGGACUCUAAAGAAACUGCCUACGCAAGUAGUGAGGAAGGCGGGGACGACGUCAAGUCAUCACGGCCCUUACGUCCUGGGCCACACACGUGCUACAAUGGUUGGUACAGAGGGCAGCUACUGGGUGACCAGAUGCGAAUCUCUAAAGCCAAUCUCAGUUCGGAUUGGAGUCUGCAACUCGACUCUAUGA